CUGCCCUGCACUCUGGGACAAGCCCUGGAAACGGGGUCUAAUACCGGAUAAUACCCUCGGGGGCAUCCCUGGGGGUUGAAAGCUCCGGCGGUGCAGGAUGAGCCCGCGGCCUAUCAGCUUGUUGGUGGGGUGAUGGCCUACCAAGGCGACGACGGGUAGCCGGCCUGAGAGGGCGACCGGCCACACUGGGACUGAGACACGGCCCAGACUCCUACGGGAGGCAGCAGUGGGGAAUAUUGCACAAUGGGCGAAAGCCUGAUGCAGCGACGCCGCGUGAGGGAUGACGGCCUUCGGGUUGUAAACCUCUUUCAGCAGGGAAGAAGCGAAAGUGACGGUACCUGCAGAAGAAGCGCCGGCUAACUACGUGCCAGCAGCCGCGGUAAUACGUAGGGCGCAAGCGUUGUCCGGAAUUAUUGGGCGUAAAGAGCUCGUAGGCGGCUUGUUACGUCGGUUGUGAAAGCCCGGGGCUUAACCCCGGGUCUGCAGUCGAUACGGGCAGGCUAGAGUGUGGUAGGGGAGAUCGGAAUUCCUGGUG
Molecule: ribosomal RNA, 535 nt
Filed under: Streptomyces sp. SAUK6017
Lineage: Bacteria; Bacillati; Actinomycetota; Actinomycetes; Kitasatosporales; Streptomycetaceae
Description: bacterial SSU rRNA
Rfam family: Bacterial small subunit ribosomal RNA
Source: RNAcentral